AGUAACCAGCAGGUAGCCUAGUGGUUAGAGUGUCGGGCCAGUAACCAGCAGGUAGCCUAGUGGUUGGAGUGUUGGGCCAGUAACCAGCAGGUAGCCUAGUGGUUAGAGUGUUGGGCCAGUAACCAGCAGGUAGCCUAGUGGUUAGAGCGUUGGGCCAGUAACCAGCAGGUAGCCUAGUGGUUAGAGCGUUGGGCCAGUAACCAGCAGGUAGCCUAGUGGUUAGAGCGUUGGGCCAGUAACCAGCAGGUAGACUAGUGGUUAGAGCGUUGGGCCAGUAACCAGCAGGUAGCCUAGUGGUUGGAGCGUUGGGCCAGUACCCAGCAGGUAGCCUAGUGGUUAGAGCGUUGGGCCAGUAACCAGCAGGUAGCCUAGUGGUUAGAGCGUUGGGCCAGUAACCAGCAGGUAGCCUAGUGGUUAGAGCGUUGGGCCAGUAACCAGCAG
This is a long non-coding RNA of Oncorhynchus tshawytscha (Chinook salmon), 441 nucleotides long. Lineage: Eukaryota; Metazoa; Chordata; Actinopteri; Salmoniformes; Salmonidae. The record is from Ensembl.